Molecule: ribosomal RNA, 109 nt
Filed under: Xenopus laevis (African clawed frog)
Lineage: Eukaryota; Metazoa; Chordata; Amphibia; Anura; Pipidae
Source: RNAcentral
GCCUAUGGCCACGCCACCCUGAAAGCCCCCGAUCUUGUCUGAUCUCGGGAGCCAGGUCUGGUUAGUACCUCGAUGGGAGACCGCCUGGGAAUAAUAGGUGUCGUAGGCU